RNAcentral lists this transfer RNA (55 nucleotides) under Cylicodontophorus bicoronatus. RNAcentral's name for it is "tRNA-Phe". The record is from RNAcentral. Lineage: Eukaryota; Metazoa; Nematoda; Chromadorea; Rhabditida; Strongylidae.
AUCUUAUUAGUUUAAUUUAAAAUAUAACUCUGAAGAGGUUAAGAAUAAUAGGAUA